This 2923-nucleotide ribosomal RNA is filed under the name Olea europaea var. sylvestris. Its description in RNAcentral is "bacterial LSU rRNA". It matches the Rfam family "Bacterial large subunit ribosomal RNA". Lineage: Eukaryota; Viridiplantae; Streptophyta; Magnoliopsida; Lamiales; Oleaceae. The record is from RNAcentral.
GAAAAGACUUACGAUGGAUAUCUAGGCACUCAGAGAUAGAAAGGGCGUAAUCGACGAAAUGCUUCGAGGAGUUGAAAAUAAGCAUAGAUUCGGAGAUUCCUGAAUAGGGCAUCCUUUCAAACUACUACUGAAUCCAUGGAUAGGCAAGAGAUAACCUGGCAAACUUAAACAUCUUAGUAGUCAAAGGAAAAGAAAGCAAAACCGAUUCCCGUAGUAGCGAGGAGCAAAAUGGGAGCAGCCUAAAUCGUGAAAACGGGGUUGUGGUCGUGCUGCUAGGUAAAGCAACACGAAUGCUAUACCCUAGAUGGUGAAAGUCCAGUAGCCAAAAGCAUCACUAGCUUAUGCUCUAACCCGAGUAACAUGGGACACGUGGAAUCCCAUGUGAAUCAGCAAGGACCACCUUACAAGGCUAAAUACUUCUGGGUGACCAGUAGCGAAGUAGUACCGUGAGGGAAGGGUGAAAAGAACCCCCAUUGAGGAGUGAAAUAGAAUAUGAAACUGUAAGCUCCCAAGUAGUGGGAGGAACCAGGCCUCUGACCGCUUGCUUGUUGAAGAAUGAGCCGGCAUCUCAUAGGCAGUGGCUUAGUUAAGGGAACCCAUCGGAGCCGUAACGAAAGUGAGUCUUUAUAGGACAAUUGUCACUGCUUAUGGACCUAAAGCUGGGUGAUCUAUCUAUGACCAGGAUAAAGGUUGGGUGAAACUAAGUGGAGGUUCGAACUGACUGAUGUUAAAGAAUUAGUGGAUGAGUUGUUGUUAGGGGUGAAAUGCCACUCGAACCCAGAGCCAGCUGGUUCUCCCCGAGAUGCAUUGAGGCGUAGCAGUUGAUUGAACAUCUAGGGGUAAAGCACUAUUUUGGUGUGGGCUGUGAGAGCGGUACCAAAUUGAGGCAAACUUUGAAUACUAGAUAUGCCUCAAAAUAACAGGGGUCAAGGUCGGCCAGUAAGAUAAUGGGGGUAAGCUUCAUCAUUGAGAGGGAAACAGCCCAGAUCACCAACUAAGGCCCCUAAAUGAUAGCUCAGUGAUAAAGGAGGUAGGGAUGCAGAGACAGCUAGGAGGUUUUCCUAGAAGCAACCACCCUUGAAAGAGUACAUAAUAGCUCACUUAUCGAGUGCUCUUGCACCAAAGAUGAAUGGGGCUAAGCGAACUACUGAAGUUGUGGGAUGUAAAAAUACAUCAAUAAAGGAGCGUUCUAACUUAGAAGGAAGCCACCGUACGAGCAGUGGUGGACGAAGCGAAAGCGAGAAUGUUGGCUUGAGUAACGCAAACAUUGGUGAGAAUCCAAUGCCUCGAAAACCUAAGGGUUCCUCUACAAAGUUCAUCCAUGGAGGGUGACUCAGGGCCUAAGAUCAGGUCGAAAGGUGUAGUUAAUGGACAAUAGGUGAAUAUUCCUGUACUACCCCUUGUUGGUCCCAAGGGAUAGAGGAAGCUAGGUUAGUCGAAAGCUAGUUAUUGAUUCAAGAACGUAAGGUGCCCCUGCUUUUUUAGGGUAAGAAUGGGUAGAGAAAAUGCCUCGAGACAAUGUUCGAGUACCAGACGCAAUGGCGCUGAAGUAACCCACACCAUACUCCCAGGAAAAGCUUGAACGACCUUUAAAUAAUAGGAUACCUAUACCCAAAAUCAACACGGGUGGGUAGGUAGAGAAUACCUAGGAGCUCGAGACAACUCUCUCUAAGGUACUCAGCAAAAUAGCCCCGUAACUUUGAAAGAAGGGGUGCCUCCUCACAAAGGAGGUCUCAGUGACCAGGCUAAGACGACUGCUUACCAAAAACACAGGUCUUUGCAAAGUCGUAAGAUCAUGUAUGGGGGCUGACACCUGCCCAGUGUUAGAAGGUCAAGGAAGUUGGUAACUUGAUGAUAGGGGAGCCGACGACCAAAGUCCUGGUGAACGAUGACCAUAACUAUAACGGUCCUAAGGCAGCGAAAUUCCUUGUCGGGUAAGUUUCGACCAACACGAAAGGCGUAACGAUCUGGGCACUAUCUCGGAGAGAGGCUCGGUGAAAUAGACAUGUCUGUGAAGAUGCGGACUACCUACACCUGGACAGAAAGACCCAUAAAGCUUUACUAUUCCCUGGGAUUGGGUUUGGGCCUUUCCUACGUAGCUUAGGUGGAAGGCGAAGAAGGCCUCCUUCCGGGGAGCCCGAGCUAUCAGUGAGAUACCACUCUCGAAGAGCUAGAAUUCUAACCUUAUGUCAGGACCUACGAGCCAAGGGAUAAUCUCAAGUAGACAAUUUCUAUGGGGCGUAGGCCUCCCAAAAGGUAACUAAGGCGUGCAAAGCUUUCCUCAGGCUAGACAGAGAUUGGCCCUCAAGUGUAAAGGCAGAAGGGAGCUUGGUUGCAAGACCCACCCAUCGAGCAGGGACAAAAGUCGGCCUUAGUGAUCUGACUGUGUCGAGUGGAAGGGCCAUCGCUCAACGAAUGAAAGUUACUCUAGGGAUAACAGGCUAAUCUUUCCCAAGAGCUCACAUCGACGGGAAGGUUUGGCACCUCGAUGUCGACUCUUGCCACCUGGGGCUGUAGUAUGCUCCAGGGGUUAGGCUGUUCGCCCAUUAAAGUGCUACAUGAGCUGGGUUCAGAGCUUCGUGAGACAAUUCGGUCCAUAUCUGGUGUGGGCAUUAGAGCAUUGAGAGGACCUUUCCCUAGUACGAGAGGACUGGGAAGUACGCACCUCUGGUGUACCAGUUAUCGUGCCCAUGGUAAACACUGGGUAGCCAAGUGCGGAGUGGAUAACUACUGAAAGUAUCUAAUUAGUAAGCCCACCCCAAUUAUGACAUCCCUUCUCUCGCACUUCACACCUCGAAAUGCACUGUUCUUAUAGAGAUAAACGCACUUUCACAUCUUCUUAACCCGAAAUGAAAUGGCUGGAGAGGGAAGAGGAAAGGUUCCUUUUUUUAGGGUACUCUUAGGAACAUAUCCAGUGUAGACA